CAGCAGCCGCGGUAAUACAGAGGGUGCGAGCGUUAAUCGGAUUUACUGGGCGUAAAGCGUGCGUAGGCGGCUUCUUAAGUCGGAUGUGAAAUCCCUGAGCUUAACUUAGGAAUUGCAUUCGAUACUGGGAAGCUAGAGUAUGGGAGAGGAUGGUAGAAUUCCAGGUGUAGCGGUGAAAUGCGUAGAGAUCUGGAGGAAUACCGAUGGCGAAGGCAGCCAUCUGGCCUAAUACUGACGCUGAGGUACGAAAGCAUGGGGAGCAAACAGGAUUAGAGACCCCCGUAGUCCCUGUCUCUUAUAC
This 301-nucleotide ribosomal RNA is filed under the name uncultured bacterium. Its description in RNAcentral is "partial 16S ribosomal RNA". It matches the Rfam family "Bacterial small subunit ribosomal RNA", at positions 509 to 807 of the family's 1533-position model. The record is from RNAcentral.